This 398-nucleotide long non-coding RNA is filed under the name Ornithorhynchus anatinus (platypus). Its description in RNAcentral is "lncRNA (ENSOANG00000038153.1)". The record is from RNAcentral. Lineage: Eukaryota; Metazoa; Chordata; Mammalia; Monotremata; Ornithorhynchidae.
ACCUUGAGGACCUGCUACCGAAGGACUCUCUGGAAAUCCUCCCGGAUUUGGAGAGGAGACGGGUAUGCACCUGCCGCUGAUUGAGGGAGAAUGGACAAGUUGCCAGAAGCUGAAAUAAAGGGAAAGAAUAAGGAUCAUAUUCUCAGCUAUCGCUUUGGAGGUUGAAAAUCACCACUGAGAUUAAAAUGAGGAUAAAUUAGUCAAGGCACAGUCAACUUUCCCUUCCCACAGGAUGGCUGGAGCCAUCAACUGAACUGAACUUGGUAGGUUGCCUUUCAAAAUGUUUUGCUUAAUUGUGGUUUAAUUUAUUCCUAGAGCUGGAAUGAGAGCAUUCUACCUGCUACUUUUCUGUAAUUGCUAAUUAAAGAUAUUAAAAAUGAAAUGUGUUUUAAACAAGG